Molecule: ribosomal RNA, 253 nt
Filed under: uncultured bacterium
Lineage: Bacteria
Description: partial 16S ribosomal RNA
Rfam family: Bacterial small subunit ribosomal RNA
Source: RNAcentral
UACGUAGACCCCGAGCGUUAUCCGGAUUCAUUGGGCGUAAAGGGUGCGUAGGAGGCCAGGUGCGUCUUCUGUUAAAUCUUGCCGCUCAACGGUGAGGCUGCAGGAGAUACGGCCAGGCUAGAGGAUGCAAGAGGUUAGCAGAACGCACGGUGUAGGGGUGAAAUCCGUUGAUAUCGUGCGGAAUACCAAAAGCGAAGGCAGCUAACUAGUGCAUUUCUGACUCUGAAGCACGAAAGCGUGGGGAGCAAAAAGG